This 509-nucleotide ribosomal RNA is filed under the name uncultured bacterium. RNAcentral's name for it is "partial 16S ribosomal RNA". It matches the Rfam family "Bacterial small subunit ribosomal RNA", at positions 28 to 506 of the family's 1533-position model. The record is from RNAcentral.
GACGAACGCUGGCGGCGUGCUUAACACAUGCAAGUCGAACGAAGAGCGAUGGAAGCUUGCUUCUAUCAAUCUUAGUGGCGAACGGGUGAGUAACGCGUAAUCAACCUGCCCUUCAGAGGGGGACAACAGUUGGAAACGACUGCUAAUACCGCAUACGAUCUAAUCUCGGCAUCGAGGAUAGAUGAAAGGUGGCCUCUACAUGUAAGCUAUCACUGAAGGAGGGGAUUGCGUCUGAUUAGCUAGUUGGAGGGGUAACGGCCCACCAAGGCGAUGAUCAGUAGCCGGUCUGAGAGGAUGAACGGCCACAUUGGGACUGAGACACGGCCCAGACUCCUACGGGAGGCAGCAGUGGGGAAUCUUCCGCAAUGGACGAAAGCCUGACGGAGCAACGCCGCGUGAGCGAUGACGGCCUUCGGGUUGUAAAGCUCUGUUAAUCGGGACGAAAGGCCUUCUUGCGAAUAGUGAGAAGGAUUGACGGUACCGGAAUAGAAAGCCACGGCUAACUACGU